ACUGUUCAAUGCGAAAGUUAUAAUGUUGAUAUUGUUUAUCAUUUAUUAUUCUGUUCAGUUUAGUUUCAAUCUUGAAGCGAAGUAGACAAGUGCUCUGUGGAUAGUUUUGUGAAAUAAUAAAUUUUGUUUUUUUUAUUUGCUUAAAAAUGUUUGGGAUCCGAAACUCAAAAUAACAAUGAAUCGCUCAAUUCAUUAAUAUGGACUUUUGCUCCCAAGCAUAUUCACGCUGGAUCUCAAACAAUUCAAAUUGCGAAUUAUUUAGCUGUUGCCAUUUUUAAUGAAGGUUAUUUACCCAUCUUAAAAAUGAUGGAACUUAUGGGCAUCACCGUUGGUACUAAAGCUCAUUCAUUUGCUAUCAGACGUAACGAAGUUCGGAUUGAGCGCUCUGAGCUACGAGCUACUGCUGCUUCCAAAGAAGGCAGAACAGCUCGAUUAGCUGAAAGAACUUCACAAAACAUCGAAUAUGAAGUUGAGGAAGGCCCAAUGUAUGGAUCUGGAAUCGCCGAUUAAUCCAAAAUCACUACAAGGGCUGGAAUCAUGUCAACCAGGGUGCACCGUUUUUUUUGUAGCCCCCACUUCACCGACCUGUAAUUUGUCCAAUUUAUCAUUUUUUUUUUUUUCAAUUUUUUUUUAUAUUCUUGAAACGUUAAUAAACAUCAUAUACAAAAACCGA
Long non-coding RNA from Cotesia glomerata, 673 nucleotides. RefSeq lists it as uncharacterized. The record is from RefSeq and is a predicted model, not a curated record. The transcript has 2 exons. Lineage: Eukaryota; Metazoa; Arthropoda; Insecta; Hymenoptera; Braconidae.